Molecule: ribosomal RNA, 450 nt
Filed under: uncultured bacterium
Lineage: Bacteria
Description: partial 16S ribosomal RNA
Rfam family: Bacterial small subunit ribosomal RNA
Source: RNAcentral
GUGGGGAAUAUUGGACAAUGGGCGAAAGCCUGAUCCAGCCAUGCCGCGUGUGUGAAGAAGGUCUUCGGAUUGUAAAGCACUUUAAGUUGGGAGGAAGGGCAGUAAGUUAAUACCUUGCUGUUUUGACGUUACCGACAGAAUAAGCACCGGCUAACUUCGUGCCAGCAGCCGCGGUAAUACGAAGGGUGCAAGCGUUAAUCGGAAUUACUGGGCGUAAAGCGCGCGUAGGUGGUUUUGUAAGUUGGAGGUGAAAUCCCCGGGCCCAACCUGGGAACUUCCUCCAAAACUGCAUGACUAGAGUACGGUAGAGGGUAGUGGAAUUUCCUGUGUAGCGGUGAAAUGCGUAGAUAUAGGAAGGAACACCAGUGGCGAAGGCGACUACCUGGACUGAUACUGACACUGAGGUGCGAAAGCGUGGGGAGCAAACAGGAUUAGAAACCCGGGUAGUCC